GAUGAACGCUGGCGGCGUGCUUAACACAUGCCAGUCGAACGGAAAGGCCCAAGCUUGCUUGGGUACUCGAGUGGCGAACGGGUGAGUAACACGUGGGUGAUCUGCCCUGCACUUCGGGAUAAGCCUGGGAAACUGGGUCUAAUACCGGAUAGGACCACAUUUUGGAUGGUGUGGUGGAAAGUUUUUCGGUGUGGGAUGAGCUCGCGGCCUAUCAGCUUGUUGGUGGGGUAAUGGCCUACCAAGGCGUCGACGGGUAGCCGGCCUGAGAGGGUGUACGGCCACAUUGGGACUGAGAUACGGCCCAGACUCCUACGGGAGGCAGCAGUGGGGAAUAUUGCACAAUGGGCGCAAGCCUGAUGCAGCGACGCCGCGUGGGGGAUGACGGCCUUCGGGUUGUAAACUCCUUUCGCUAGGGACGAAGCGUUAUGUGACGGUACCUGGAGAAGAAGCACCGGCUAACUACGU
Molecule: ribosomal RNA, 465 nt
Filed under: uncultured bacterium
Lineage: Bacteria
Description: partial 16S ribosomal RNA
Rfam family: Bacterial small subunit ribosomal RNA
Source: RNAcentral